AGCGAACGCUGGCGGCAGGCUUAACACAUGCAAGUCGAGCGGGCACUUUCGGGUGUCAGCGGCGGACGGGUGAGUAACGCGUGGGAACGUGCCCUCUGGUUCGGAAUAACUCAGGGAAACUUGAGCUAAUACCGGAUACGCCCUUUUGGGGAAAGGCUUGCUGCCGGAGGAUCGGCCCGCGUCUGAUUAGCUAGUUGGUGAGGUAACGGCUCACCAAGGCGACGAUCAGUAGCUGGUCUGAGAGGAUGAUCAGCCACACUGGGACUGAGACACGGCCCAGACCCCUACGGGGGGGAGGAGUGGGGAAAAUUGGAAAGGGGGCGCAAGCCUGACCCGCCCAUGCCGGGGGAGUGAUGAAGGCCUUGGGGUUGAAAAGCUCUUUUACCGGGGACGAAAAGGACGGAACGGGGGAAAUAAGCCCCGGCAAACUUCGG
This 434-nucleotide ribosomal RNA is filed under the name uncultured bacterium. RNAcentral's name for it is "partial 16S ribosomal RNA". It matches the Rfam family "Bacterial small subunit ribosomal RNA", at positions 30 to 506 of the family's 1533-position model. The record is from RNAcentral.